Molecule: ribosomal RNA, 492 nt
Filed under: uncultured bacterium
Lineage: Bacteria
Description: bacterial SSU rRNA
Rfam family: Bacterial small subunit ribosomal RNA
Source: RNAcentral
GACGAACGCUGGCGGCGUGCUUAAAACAUGCAAGUCGAACGGACUUCUCAUGAAGCUUGCGAUUGAGAAGUUAGUGGCGGACGGGUGAGUAACGCGUGGGCAACCUGCCCCUGAGCCCGGGAUAACAGUUCGAAAGGACUGCUAAGACCGGAUAUACUUGCGGUGAAGCAUUUCACUGCAAGGAAAGGGAACGCUCAGGGAUGGGCCCGCGUCCCAUUAGCUAGUUGGUGAGGUAACGGCCCACCAAGGCGACGAUGGGUAGCCGGCCUGAGAGGGUGAACGGCCACACUGGGACUGAGACACGGCCCAGACUCCUACGGGAGGCAGCAGUUGGGAAUCUUCGGCAAUGGGCGCAAGCCUGACCGAGCAACGCCGCGUGAGUGAUGAAGGUUUUCGGAUUGUAAAGCUCUGUCUUCCGGGACGAUAAUGACGGUACCGGAGGAGGAAGCCACGGCUAACUACGUGCCAGCAGCCGCGGUAAGAGUGUGUGUA